Molecule: ribosomal RNA, 274 nt
Filed under: uncultured bacterium
Lineage: Bacteria
Description: partial 16S ribosomal RNA
Rfam family: Bacterial small subunit ribosomal RNA
Source: RNAcentral
AUACGGAGGUUGCGAGCGUUAAUCGGAAUUACUGGGCGUAAAGCGUACGUAGGCGGUUGGUUAAGUUAGAUGUGAAAGCCCCGGGCUUAACCUGGGAACUGCAUUUAAAACUGGCGAACUAGAGUUGAGUAGAGGGGAGUGGAAUUUCAGGUGUAGCGGUGAAAUGCGUAGAGAUCUGAAGGAACACCAGUGGCGAAGGCGACUCCCUGGACUCGAACUGACGCUGAGGUACGAAAGCGUGGGUAGCAAACGGGAUUAGAAACCCCAGUAGUCC